Molecule: long non-coding RNA, 438 nt
Organism: Mus musculus (house mouse)
Lineage: Eukaryota; Metazoa; Chordata; Mammalia; Rodentia; Muridae
Product: predicted gene, 42291
Exons: 3
Source: RefSeq, a predicted model, not a curated record
AUUUGUGGUGCUGGCCAAGGAACCCCAUGAGAAGUUUUGCCUUUUUGAGGGAUCCAUUCAAGGCUACAGAAAUCUAUCUGCAACAUCAUGUCAGAGUCUUUUCUAUGUUUAAUGUCUACUGUGAGUCUCCAAGAGAGUUUUAGGUUGGAUGGAGGGCUUUCCAAAUACAUUUAUCAGGAUGGUACAACUAAGACUUAGUUUUCAGAAGGAAUUCCAACCAGCCUGACUCAAAGGUGAUUCUUCAAAUUGCCAAGUGAAGAUUACACAACUGUAUGAGGAAGAUUUGCCUCUCCUAUGCACUAACUGAUCCAUGCUACACCAUUUGACUCCAUUAUUGAAGGUGAAAGGUAGCCUUGCUAUGUCCCCAUGGAAAUCCGCUGCAACCUGUGACUGGAACUACAACUGUUGUUCCCAGCAAGCCUGAGCCACAGUUAUGGU